Molecule: ribosomal RNA, 408 nt
Filed under: uncultured bacterium
Lineage: Bacteria
Description: bacterial SSU rRNA
Rfam family: Bacterial small subunit ribosomal RNA
Source: RNAcentral
GUGCCAGCCGCCGCGGUAAUACGUAGGGGGCGAGCGUUGUCCGGAAUUAUUGGGCGUAAAGGGUUCGUAGGCGGUUAUUUAAGUCAGGUGUGAAAGGCAUGGGCUUAACCUGUGUAAGCACUUGAAACUGGAUAACUUGAGUUAAGGAGAGGAAAGUGGAAUUCCUAGUGUAGCGGUGAAAUGCGUAGAUAUUAGGAGGAAUACCAGUGGCGAAGGCGACUUUCUGGACUUAUACUGACGCUGAGGAACGAAAGCGUGGGGAGCAAACAGGAUUAGAUACCCUGGUAGUCCACGCCGUAAACGAUGAGUGCUAGGUGUUGGAGGGAAACCUUCGGUGCCGCAGCUAACGCAUUAAGCACUCCGCCUGGGGAGUACGUACGCAAGUAUGAAACUCAAAUAAAUUGACGG